UAACUCUAGCUCAGUUGGUUAGAGCGCUGCACUGGAAUCGCAGGGCCGUAGGUUCAAUUCCUACGAGAG
RNAcentral lists this transfer RNA (69 nucleotides) under Paramuricea clavata. Its description in RNAcentral is "tRNA-Ser". It matches the Rfam family "tRNA", at positions 5 to 66 of the family's 71-position model. From Rfam's summary of the family: Transfer RNA (tRNA) molecules are approximately 80 nucleotides in length. Their secondary structure includes four short double-helical elements and three loops (D, anti-codon, and T loops). The record is from RNAcentral. Lineage: Eukaryota; Metazoa; Cnidaria; Anthozoa; Malacalcyonacea; Plexauridae.